AACAUAUCAUCCUCAUGCCACAUGAAUCAUGUGGUUGUCCCUCACUCCCUCUUCUUAAUAUUUUUCUAGUUAGACCGUAAGAUGAUUCUCGGAAGGUGUCACAAUGAUAUCCGAAGUGAUUCCGAUCAUCUAUUUGGUGUAGGUUUAUGUACUUCCCUAGUCAUGGUCAACCAAGCAUUCCGAAGAAUAAUGCAAAUAACUA
Long non-coding RNA from Arabidopsis thaliana (thale cress), 202 nucleotides. RefSeq annotates it as other RNA. Lineage: Eukaryota; Viridiplantae; Streptophyta; Magnoliopsida; Brassicales; Brassicaceae. The record is from RefSeq. The transcript has a single exon.